This 70-nucleotide transfer RNA is filed under the name Camelus bactrianus (Bactrian camel). It matches the Rfam family "tRNA". From Rfam's summary of the family: Transfer RNA (tRNA) molecules are approximately 80 nucleotides in length. Their secondary structure includes four short double-helical elements and three loops (D, anti-codon, and T loops). Further hydrogen bonds mediate the characteristic L-shaped molecular structure. tRNAs have two regions of fundamental functional importance: the anti-codon, which is responsible for specific mRNA codon recognition, and the 3' end, to which the tRNAs corresponding amino acid is attached (by aminoacyl-tRNA synthetases). tRNAs cope with the degeneracy of the genetic code in two manners: having more than one tRNA (with a specific anti-codon) for a particular amino acid; and 'wobble' base-pairing, i.e. permitting non-standard base-pairing at the 3rd anti-codon position. RNAcentral also lists the same sequence under 2 other names. The record is from Rfam by way of RNAcentral. Lineage: Eukaryota; Metazoa; Chordata; Mammalia; Artiodactyla; Camelidae.
GGGCAUAGCUCAGUGGUACAGUGCGUGCUUAGCAUGCACGAGGUCCUGGGUUCAAUCCCCAGUAGAUCCA